Molecule: long non-coding RNA, 148 nt
Organism: Nanorana parkeri
Lineage: Eukaryota; Metazoa; Chordata; Amphibia; Anura; Dicroglossidae
Exons: 3
Source: RefSeq, a predicted model, not a curated record
GAGCAGCAGCUUGUAGGGGCUGCUGUGCGUUAAUGAGAACCUGUACAGAUGCAGUAACUCAGGGCACAUCCUAUCAGAGUUUAUUCAUGUCAGGUCACAGGUCUAUGAACACUAGAACAUCCAUCCUGCACAAUAAAGCCUAAGGAUA